This 433-nucleotide ribosomal RNA is filed under the name uncultured bacterium. Its description in RNAcentral is "partial 16S ribosomal RNA". It matches the Rfam family "Bacterial small subunit ribosomal RNA", at positions 29 to 507 of the family's 1533-position model. The record is from RNAcentral.
AACGAACGCUGGCGGCAUGCCUAACACAUGCAAGUCGAACGAAGGCUUCGGCCUUAGUGGCGCACGGGUGCGUAACGCGUGGGAAUCUGCCCUUUGGUUCGGAAUAACAGCUGGAAACGGCUGCUAAUACCGGAUGAUGACGGAAGUCCAAAGAUUUAUCGCCAGAGGAUGAGCCCGCGUUGGAUUAGGUAGUUGGUGGGGUAAAGGCCUACCAAGCCGACGAUCCAUAGCUGGUCUGAGAGGAUGAUCAGCCACACUGGGACUGAGACACGGCCCAGACUCCUACGGGAGGCAGCAGUGGGGAAUAUUGGACAAUGGGCGCAAGCCUGAUCCAGCAAUGCCGCGUGAGUGAUGAAGGCCCUAGGGUUGUAAAGCUCUUUUACCCGGGAAGAUAAUGACUGUACCGGGAGAAUAAGCCCCGGCUAACUCCGUG